This 264-nucleotide long non-coding RNA is filed under the name Manihot esculenta (cassava). RNAcentral describes it as "long non-coding RNA (MESC_LNC011246)". Lineage: Eukaryota; Viridiplantae; Streptophyta; Magnoliopsida; Malpighiales; Euphorbiaceae. The record is from RNAcentral.
CGAGAUUCCACCGGACGGUAGGAAUUCCGAUACCGGAGUCUAGCCGGGUAUUACAUUCUCCCCCCCUUAAGAACAUUCGUCUCCGAAUGUUCCUCAACUAGCACAUAGCAUGGCAUACACAUAUCAUACAUACAAAGCACAUAAAAUUCACAAGGAACAAACCUCAGAAAAGGUAAGGGUAUUGCUGGAGCAUGGACUCCCGUGUCUCCCAAGUGCAUUCUUCCAUAUUGUGGUGGUUCCAAAGGACUUUCACCAUUGGGAUUU